UCCAGACUCCUACGGGAGGCAGCAGUGGGGAAUAUUGCACAAUGGGGGGAACCCUGAUGCAGCAACGCCGCAUGGGUGAAGGAGCGUUUCGGCGCGUAAAGCCCUGUCAGCGGGGAAGAAGAAAGACGGUACCCGACCAAGAAGCCCCGGCUAACUACGUGCCAGCAGCCGCGGUAAUACGUAGGGGGCGAGCGUUAUCCGGAAUUACUGGGUGUAAAGGGAGCGUAGACGGCGAGGUAAGCCUGAAGUGGAAGCCCGCGGCCCAACCGCGGGACUGCUCUGGAAACUGCGUCGCUGGAGUACGGGAGGGGCAGGCGGAAUUCCUGGUGUAGCGGUGAAAUGCGUAGAUAUCAGGAGGAACACCGGCGGCGAAGGCGGCCUGCUGGACCGUGACUGACGUUGAGGCUCGAGAGCGUGGGGAGCAAACAGGAUUAGAUACCCGCGUAA
Molecule: ribosomal RNA, 447 nt
Filed under: uncultured bacterium
Lineage: Bacteria
Description: bacterial SSU rRNA
Rfam family: Bacterial small subunit ribosomal RNA
Source: RNAcentral